CGUGAGGUGGAGCGAAUCCCAGAAAUAAACGUCUCAGUUCGGAUUGUAGUCUGCAACUCGACUACAUGAAGCUGGAAUCGCUAGUAAUCGCGGAUCAGAAUGCCGCGGUGAAUACGUUCCCGGGCCUUGUACACACCGCCCGUCACACCAUGAGAGUUUGUAACACCCAAAGCCGGUGGGGUAACCUUUUGGAGCCAGCCGUCUAAGGUGGGACAGAUGAUUGGGGUGAAGUCGUAACAAGGUAAC
RNAcentral lists this ribosomal RNA (246 nucleotides) under uncultured bacterium. RNAcentral describes it as "partial 16S ribosomal RNA". It matches the Rfam family "Bacterial small subunit ribosomal RNA", at positions 1256 to 1500 of the family's 1533-position model. The record is from RNAcentral.